RNAcentral lists this transfer RNA (73 nucleotides) under Nicotiana attenuata. It matches the Rfam family "tRNA". Rfam says of the family: Transfer RNA (tRNA) molecules are approximately 80 nucleotides in length. Lineage: Eukaryota; Viridiplantae; Streptophyta; Magnoliopsida; Solanales; Solanaceae. The record is from Rfam by way of RNAcentral.
GGUCUAUUAGCUCAGCUAGUUAGAGUGUCGUGCUAAUAAUGCGAAGGUCGCAGGUUCGAGACCGCACAGGUCA